RNAcentral lists this ribosomal RNA (515 nucleotides) under uncultured bacterium. RNAcentral describes it as "partial 16S ribosomal RNA". It matches the Rfam family "Bacterial small subunit ribosomal RNA", at positions 28 to 523 of the family's 1533-position model. The record is from RNAcentral.
GAUGAACGCUGGCGGCGUGCCUAAUACAUGCAGGUCGAGCGAAUGGAUUAAGAGCUUGCUCUUAUGAAGUUAGCGGCGGACGGGUGAGUAACACGUGGGUAACCUGCCCAUAAGACUGGGAUAACUCCGGGAAACCGGGGCUAAUACCGGAUAACAUUUUGAACCGCAUGGUUCGAAAUUGAAAGGCGGCUCCGGCUGUACCUUAUGAAUGGCCCCGCGUCGCAUUAGCUAGUUGGUGAGGUAACGUCUCACCAAGGCAACGAUGCGUAGCCGACCUGAGAGGGUGAUCGGCCACACUGGGACUGAGACCCGGCCCAGACUCCUACGGGAGGCAGCAGUAGGGAAUCUUCCGCAAUGGACGAAAGUCUGACGGAGCAACGCCGCGUGAGUGAUGAAGGCUUUCGGGUCGUAAAACUCUGUUGUUAGGGAAGAACAAGUGCUAGUUGAAUAAGCUGGCACCUUGACGGUACCUAACCAGAAAGCCACGGCUAACUACGUGCCAGCCGCCGCGGUAA